GAUGAACGCUGGCGGCGUGCCUAAUACAUGCAAGUCGAACGCACAGCGAAAGGUGCUUGCACCUUUCAAGUGAGUGGCGAACGGGUGAGUAACACGUGGACAACCUGCCUCAAGGCUGGGGAUAACAUUUGGAAACAGAUGCUAAUACCGAAUAAAACUUAGUGUCGCAUCACACAAAGUUAAAAGGCGCUUUGGCAUCACCUAGAGAUGGAUCCGCGG
This 219-nucleotide ribosomal RNA is filed under the name uncultured bacterium. RNAcentral describes it as "partial 16S ribosomal RNA". It matches the Rfam family "Bacterial small subunit ribosomal RNA", at positions 28 to 236 of the family's 1533-position model. The record is from RNAcentral.